GAGCCAGUGGCCUAAUGGAUAAGGCAUCAGUAUCUGGAGCUGGGGGUUGUGGGUUCAAGUCCCAUCUGGGUCG
Molecule: transfer RNA, 73 nt
Filed under: Bos taurus (domestic cattle)
Lineage: Eukaryota; Metazoa; Chordata; Mammalia; Artiodactyla; Bovidae
Also listed under: 4 other names
Rfam family: tRNA
About the family: Transfer RNA (tRNA) molecules are approximately 80 nucleotides in length.
Source: Rfam by way of RNAcentral